Long non-coding RNA from Panicum virgatum (switchgrass), 447 nucleotides. RefSeq lists it as uncharacterized. Lineage: Eukaryota; Viridiplantae; Streptophyta; Magnoliopsida; Poales; Poaceae. The record is from RefSeq and is a predicted model, not a curated record. The transcript has 3 exons.
GCAAUCUCCACUAUUUCUACACCAAGUCUAGUGACAAGGAGUAUGUCAAGAAAAAUGCUGGAAUAUGACUUAUCUACACCAACUAGAGCCAUGACACUAGUUUCUACACCAAGCCCUGUCACAAGAAGCCGUAAGAGGAUACUUGAACUUGAAGACACUAUAGAGCCUGUUCAAUGUCUUGCUUUAUCUCCAGUUCCUAUCAACGACAAGGAAAAGCCAAAAAAGCUGAAGGUUGUCAGAUUCAAGAAAACAUAAGCUAUGUAGUGAUAUGUUCAUGUAGUGUUGCUGUUCAAAGCAUGACCUUGUAAUAUGUGGCCUUGUAAUGUUUGGAUCUGGUACUGUACUAGAUAGCCUAAUAUGACUGGAGCAUGAUAUUUUGUUGGACCUGCUACUUCCAUUAACCUGUCAUAUUAUUCUAAGAUAAAAUACUGUUGAAUUGCUCUAUCA